UCAGUGUUGCCCCCAUGGACUGAAUUGCUUUGUAGAAUUUCCUAUGAACCUGAAUCCAUCAAAGCACUCAAGUGGCAUCACUGUCCAUGCCUGAAUUCAGCAAUCUCAACACACAAAAGGAAAGGUGUUCAAAUUUUGUCUUGACAUUCUGACCUGCUUGUAAUCGAAAUCUGUAACUCGCCUCUCCUUCAGCAAAACACCAGCCAAGAACACCAGUGCAGAAGGGAUGCUUAGUAAUCCAAGAGCACCCUUAGAACAAGAAAAGAAAAAAAAAGCAAGAAUCACAAUCAUAUCAAUUGACAUUGUGUGAGAAAACAAAUGAUGAUGCAAAUCAUUAUCUAAGGUCAGGGAAUAUCACACCUGAGACCCCAUGGAGUGGACAAGAAGACCACUGAUGGAGAAUCCAAGCAAUGCCCCAACGGAGGAGCUGAACCCACACAGGCUCUGCAUGUCUGCGGCUAGCGGCUGGUGCGUGAUGCUGUUCUGAGCAACCAGCGCGUCCACCGUCACGUCGGCCACCGCCGCGCCCGCGCUCUGCGCCGUCAGCGCCAAGAUCGCCGGCAUGAUGCCCAGCUUGCGGUGGAGAGAGAGCGUGAGCAUGGACGACGCCCCAAUCACUCCUGAAUGAAUCACCGAGAGAAGUGAUCAAGUAAGGCGAAAGCCUUCGAACUGCGAGAUGGGAUCGAGGAGGCGGAGGAGGCUGCAAUCCCCUCACCGGCGAGGAGGAAGUACGGGCGGCGGCGGUAGCCGGCGACGGGGACGACGUCGGUGAGUAGACCCCAGAUGGGCUUGACGACCCAGGGGGCGCUGACGAACCCCUGGUAGAACUGCGCCGCCGACGGCUGCACGCGCUGCACGUCCUUCCAGUAGUACCCCGCCGCGACGCCGCCGACGGCGUCGCCGACACCCUGGCAGGCCCCGUAGACGGCCACGACGGCGAGCACGAAGCUCCAGUGCAGCUCGCGGGACAGACGCCGGAGCCAGCCGCCGGGGAAGGAGGCGCCGCCGCCGGCUUCUCGAAGCGCCGCGUCGUCGUCCUCCUCCUCUUGGCGAUCCAUCUGGGCAGCGAUUUCUUGCCGGGGGUUUCUUGGGGAUCUACGGCGGAAGCCCGCCGGAAUUCGCACGGCUAGAAUGCAGGUCUCGCGAUUGAUCGGUGGGAGAGAUUGACGAGGCGCAUCUUGGCGUUGGCGAGCUGAGCAAGAGCAAGUGUGCGUUGAUGGGUAUCCGCGCUCAAGGUUUUGACUUGACACCCCCCACCUUGCAACUAUUAUAGUACUGUAUACUCCUACUAAUUUAACCAUGGUAAUUUUGCACCAUUAAUCUAUGUACUAGUAGUAGAAAACUGGGCAACAUGUCAACACUAAUUUUGACUUUGUGCCUUUUACUAUUGCGCAUCAUCUCUUUGCACUGCGUUAUUACUGUGUAGCUACUUACGACCUAAUCAAGGCCUGAUAGGAAUUAAUAAGUGAAUAUGAAAUAAGUUCACUUUCGACAUUU
RNAcentral lists this small RNA (1497 nucleotides) under Oryza sativa Japonica Group (Japanese rice). Its description in RNAcentral is "sRNA Os04g0499150". The record is from RNAcentral. Lineage: Eukaryota; Viridiplantae; Streptophyta; Magnoliopsida; Poales; Poaceae.